RNAcentral lists this long non-coding RNA (347 nucleotides) under Lathyrus oleraceus (garden pea). RNAcentral describes it as "Pisum sativum (pea) long non-coding RNA (PSAT_LNC039155)". The record is from RNAcentral. Lineage: Eukaryota; Viridiplantae; Streptophyta; Magnoliopsida; Fabales; Fabaceae.
ACAGUCCUACUAACAAAACUGUUCUAAUUAAUCUCUAACAGUCCCUGACACAUAAUUAACAGUUUCAUAGCUAACUAUCGAAUCAACUCAACUAACAAUCAUAUUAUCAUUAACCAACUAACUACUUUUCACUAACUUACUAACUUAACUAACAUUUCAAACUAACACUUUAAUUCCCUAAACACUAACUGAUUCAACUUCAAAACCAACAUUCAUUAACACUUAAAUAACUAUUAACUAAUCAUCUCUAAUAUCACUAACAACUCUAACACUAGCCCAUUCAUGACAGUUUAACCCGCUCACUGAAAUUUCCUAAUCCAAUUCACUAACAAUCCAAUACCAAAUAU